UGGAAUCGCUAGUAAUCGCGGAUCAGAAUGCCGCGGUGAAUACGUUCCCGGGUCUUGUACACACCGCCCGUCACACCAUGGGAGUCGGAAAUGCCCGAAGUCUGUGACCUAACCGUAAGGAAGGAGCAGCCGAAGGCAGGUCGGAUGACUGGGGUGAAGUCGUAACAAGGUAGC
RNAcentral lists this ribosomal RNA (174 nucleotides) under uncultured bacterium. Its description in RNAcentral is "partial 16S ribosomal RNA". It matches the Rfam family "Bacterial small subunit ribosomal RNA", at positions 1327 to 1500 of the family's 1533-position model. The record is from RNAcentral.